AUAGUGUUAUCCAUCAUCUAGGUACUGACAGCACACGGCACACUGUAUUGAUAUUACCUCUUCAGCCAUCCAGUCAACACCCCUAAGUUGGGAGCCCUGUGGCGCUGGGCUUAUCUUAGCCUUCUUUGGUCCCAUUUCAAAAGAAUCACACUCUUUAAACUAUCAGCUUCAAGAUCCAACACCCAAUGCUUCUGAAGUUUUCAACGAGUCCUAUGCCACAUGCUUGAAGUGAAAGGGACUGAACUCCCUAUUAAGCAGGAAGAAGCAAGUUUUGCCAAUGAUGAAUCAGCCUACAAACUGAGGAAAAGCAGGAGUUUGAACAGGAACACAUUAAGACCAGCAUGAAGAGAUCUAAGGACCCUGCUCUCCAGGAAACAGCUGUAAUUAAUGAAAAUUAUAUUAAAACAACCAUUUCACAUCUCUGAAACAACCA
This 433-nucleotide long non-coding RNA is filed under the name Papio anubis (olive baboon). RNAcentral describes it as "lncRNA (ENSPANG00000051093.1)". Lineage: Eukaryota; Metazoa; Chordata; Mammalia; Primates; Cercopithecidae. The record is from RNAcentral.